AUUUCACAUAAGACUUAAGGAUGAUAAUGACGAACAAUGAUGAUGAUGAUGAUGAUGAUGAUAGUGGUGGUGGUAGUGGUGGUGGUUUUGGUGGGUUUAGGAACAAUAAAAAAAAUCAGGAUGAUAAGAAUGAAUGAUGGUGAUGACAAUGAUGACGAUGAUGGUCGUAGGUGAUGAUAAUGAUGGUGAUGGUAUUAAUGUUGAUAAGGGUCAUCACUGCCAGAAGGACGAGAAAGAAUGGCGAUGACCUCGUGAAGAUGGUGACGAGAGUGAUGGUGGUGAUGAUGAUGAUAAUGAUGAUGGUGGUGGUGAUGAUGGAGAUGAGAAUGAUGAUGAUGAUGAUGAUGAGGAGGAGGAGGAGGAGGAUGAGGAGGGUGAUAAAAAUGAUGACAGUGAUGUGCAUAAUGAAGAUAAUAAAGAUGAUGAGAAAUGUUAAUUGUAUAAUGAUGUAUUGUUGUGUUACUCGUGCCUGUACAUUUCCUUCACUGACACAUACAAAUAAUUUAAUCAGUCAUUUGCUAACUUUUUCCUGUAUGGCUUUGAUCCCUUACUGCCACGCGUCGCCACUUAAGUACGUAGCGAGCCGAGGAAGAAGAAAGAAGGCGGAGGUCCACCCAGGCGAGCCGUUCCCGCAUCACACAACUUACACGUUAAUUUCUCGCAGAGUAAAGCAAAACACAACAGAUGUGUAUAGAGACUCUACACAGUAUCCUGAAACAUUUCUGCCCGCACCCCGACUACUUUCCUGAGGCUCUAGUUGAAAUUACACAGAUUUUCAGGGUGUUUGUACGGUUCUAGUGACAGACUGAUAAGGUCUCUACAGCAUCAUCCGGAGAAACAAUCUUGAAAACCCGUGUAAUUACCUCUGUGGCCUUUGAAAAUAGUCUGGAGAGAGAGCAAAGCUUUUCAGAACACAGGCACAUAACCUUGCUUCAUGCUUCAUGAAAAACAAGUGCAUUUAUGAUACCUGAGAAUGCCUUGUUGCAUUUCCCCCAUUAGCCUGUCUCUCAUUGGUGAAAACACCCGCACUAUACGUAUUACGUUAUUUCAGUAGACUCAAGUCGCUAUUUCAAGUCUACAUAAGCCUCAAUAAAUACGAGAGCUGAGGUGGUGGCCUGCUUCCCGACUGCCAAUCAGAGUGUUCUAUUUUUCCGUUUUCUUCCUUACUCUUCGUACAGCUCAUGUAUCCUUCAUUUGUCCUUACUUCUUGCCUCACAGUGUAUUGGUAAGUGUCUUCUACUGCUAAUAUAACCGUGAUUCUAUUAUUUUGUAUCAUUACAAGUAGUAUUGCGAGAGUGGCUCUGUUUUUAGUGACAAUUACCUCAGCACAGCCUCCACCAAUCAACACCAAGUAUUCAAGUCACGUGAUACUCUCUCCUCGCCGUCUCCUCAGCCAUUCGCCCUGCGCCCGCUGACGUGACGGGUCUCCGGUUGUGUUACGGCGGUGAAGCGGUGUUGCGUCUGUCCUUGGCGGGCAUGUAGUGGUGGACUGCGGUGUGGAGGGAGAGGUGGAUGCCUUCCUUCUCUCCCCUCCUCCGCUCCCUUCCUAGCCUGCCCGCCACCCUCUCCCCGCUCUUUCUUGCCAACUCUCCCCUGCUCCUCGUGUCCCAGACCUCGUCGAGAAGACACACACCUGGGCGUCUCCAGGAUCCUUCUGACACACAGGGAGGUGUAUCACUCCGCCAGCAGCAAACUUGACGUCAUGGGCCAGGGCAUGCAGCGGCGUGCAGUGCGUGGGUCUGGUGACUGUGUGGCCUCUGAUGAAGAGGUGUGUGAGCUGCUGGACGAGAGAAGAGCAAACGAAAAGUAAACAUGGGAUUGCUGCCGCCUCAGGACACUAGGAGCAUUGCGGAGGCGCUGAGGAAGACAUCACAACCCUUGACACAGCGAACACAACUCUGUACUGAGGCUGGCACUGGCUUCUCCCAACACCUCACGUGGUCAUUGCAACAAAAGGAGCAUCAACCCGACCUGAGCCGACUGUGGGAGUGACAAAUGGUUCCCUGGACGCCGUGUGUCACCGGAUUGCAGGCGAGCGUCAGGCGGACCAUGAGUCGGGACGCUGCCAAGUCCGUUGACCAGAACCUGACCAGGAAAAUUCAAGAAGCGUGGCCUUGACCUUGCUCAGCAGUUGUGCCCUCACCUGACCUACGUUAUGUUGCUCUGCGUUCAUUGUUUCUGGCAAACCCAGUGUCUCGCGUCCCCUCAGCGUGGCCAAGUCCCCUCCCGCGGUGCCAUUCUCUCAAAUCAGCCACAACAUGUCAAGGCGGCCAGUCCCGGCUCCCUGCAGAGGCUUUUUGUGUUCUCACCAUUUCUCUCCACCGUUGCUGCUCGCUGCCCCUUCUUCCCCCUCACACCCGCCCGGGACUGACAUCACAAGUGGAAGAUAUAACCCAUUUGCAAGAGUUUUCAUGGCGACGAGGGAGCAACAGUGUGUGUAAAGGUCAAUUUCCUGGACACUGGAGGCUAAAAAUUGCUUCAUACUCAGGGUAUUCCGCGUCACAGAAAACGGAAUUUGCCGCCUGCGAGCGCCUGGCCGCCCCUUGAUGGGAAGGGGGGGUAUCUCAAGGCGCCCGUGCAUUGUGGCGUGGCUCGUGUGGCUGGUGGGUGCUUGCUCCUUCUUGUGAGAAUGUGGCGUAUACCUCUAGAUUUUUUUCAUGGUUUGAUAUUAAUAUGUGAGAUGCAGUACGAGAUUAUGUUUUCGCGUGUGUGAGAGGUUAGUUAAUAGAAAAAUAAAUAAGUAAAAAAACUAAGUCAUUGUCGUUCAUUAACAAAACUAAGUAAAAAAUGGUUUCAAUAGGGAAGCUAAAUUAAUUUCAGAAAUGUCUGCCUAUUAUUUUUCUCCACAUUCCAUUAUAACGUUGUCUUUUGUUUGUUGUUUUUCUCAUAAGCUGUUAUUUAAAGAUGGUGACGAUGAUAAUGAAGAGUUUGUAACAAUGUGCUUAAUGAUUACCGAACAAAGCAGUAUUUGUACCAUGAACC
Molecule: long non-coding RNA, 2982 nt
Organism: Scylla paramamosain (green mud crab)
Lineage: Eukaryota; Metazoa; Arthropoda; Malacostraca; Decapoda; Portunidae
Exons: 6
Source: RefSeq, a predicted model, not a curated record